This is an RNA transcript of Amphimedon queenslandica, 970 nucleotides long. RefSeq lists it as uncharacterized. Lineage: Eukaryota; Metazoa; Porifera; Demospongiae; Haplosclerida; Niphatidae. The transcript is spliced from 7 exons. The record is from RefSeq and is a predicted model, not a curated record.
AGCAGAGUAUUCAACUUAAAAAUUCAACCAAAGAAAUGGGCUCCGACUCUGAGCAAUGCCAAAUUGACGAAUUAAUGGAAAUGAAAAAAUUGAUAGGAGAUAAACUUGUUGAAGUAACAAAAGAGAAGUCAGAGUUAGCAUCAGAAGUAACUGAAGCUAAAUAUAAAAUAAUUGAGUUGACAGAACAGAUCUCUAAUCUUACCAUUGAGGUAUCAAGAUUGAAAGAGGAAAAGAAAAAAAUUUUUGAGGAAAGAAAUAGAUUAACAGAGGACAGAGACAGGAUAGCUAGUGAAAGAAAUAAAUUAGCUAGGAAACUUAGGAAAAUAAGUAAAGGAUCAGAAGCAGAUGAGUCAGAAGAUGAAGAAAAGCAAAUCCUCAUAACUCAAGUUAAUGCUUACAGUAGAGAAUGUGACAAACUAAAGGGGCAAGUCGGGUAACUACAAACUCAGGUGACAGAGCACAGGCAAUCUCUUGCUAGUGUAAAGGAUCAACUACAAACUGCUCAUAAGCAACGUCACGAAGAGGUCACAAGACUCACUGAACGUAUUGAUGAACUUGAAAGACAGUUGAAAGUGACUAAAGAAGAAUAUAAUGAGGAAACAGACCGCCUGCGCAAGAAACGUAGAAAUGAAAAAGAGAAACGUCACGCUGAGAAUGUUGAACAUUGCAAUAUUAUUGAAUCAUUGUAUGGAGAGCUACAGUGACAACGGGCCCAUAAGAAAGUUCCCAGGCUAGAGCCAAGUAUAAAUCUUAUACCGGUACCAGAAAGAUAUGAAGAAAAUAUUGAUCAAAUAUUACGUGAAGUGGAUGAAUUUAGGAGAGCUAGAAAUGAACAUCUCUCUGAUAGUACAAGUGCUCUUUGAUAGCACUAAUGCUGAUAUAUAAGUAACUUCAAGAAGAUCUUUGUGCUCCAACAACACAAAAAUUUUUCUCUGAUGGUAUUAAACCAUAUGAUCUUGUGGGUGAAAUA